UACGGAGGGUGCAAGCGUUAUCCGGAUUCACUGGGUUUAAAGGGUGCGUAGGUGGGCAGGUAAGUCAGUGGUGAAAUCUCCGGGCUUAACUCGGAAACUGCCAUUGAUACUAUCUGUCUUGAAUGCCCUGGAGGUAAGCGGAAUAUGUCAUGUAGCGGUGAAAUGCUUAGAUAUGACAUAGAACACCAAUUGCGAAGGCAGCUUACUACGGGGUGAUUGACGCUGAGACGCGAAAGCGUGGGGAGCAAACAGG
This 253-nucleotide ribosomal RNA is filed under the name uncultured bacterium. Its description in RNAcentral is "partial 16S ribosomal RNA". It matches the Rfam family "Bacterial small subunit ribosomal RNA", at positions 524 to 776 of the family's 1533-position model. The record is from RNAcentral.